AACGAGCGCUGGCGGCAUGCCUAACACAUGCAAGUCGAACGAGACCUUCGGGUCUAGUGGCGCACGGGUGCGUAACGCGUGGGAACCUGCCCUUAGGUUCGGAAUAACUCCCCGAAAGGGGUGCUAAUACCGGAUAAUGUCUUCGGACCAAAGAUUUAUCGCCUUUGGGUGGGCCCGCGUUGGAUUAGCUAGUUGGUAGGGUAAAAGCCUACCAAGGCGACGAUCCAUAGCUGGUCUGAGAGGAUGAUCAGCCACACUGGGACUGAGACACGGCCCAGACUCCUACGGGAGGCAGCAGUGGGGAAUAUUGGACAAUGGGCGAAAGCCUGAUCCGGCAAUGCCGCGUGAGUGAUGAAGGCCUUAGGGUUGUAAAGCUCUUUUACCCGGGAUGAUAAUGACAGUACCGGGAGAAUAAGCUCCGGCUAACUCCGUG
This 433-nucleotide ribosomal RNA is filed under the name uncultured bacterium. Its description in RNAcentral is "partial 16S ribosomal RNA". It matches the Rfam family "Bacterial small subunit ribosomal RNA", at positions 29 to 507 of the family's 1533-position model. The record is from RNAcentral.